RNAcentral lists this ribosomal RNA (483 nucleotides) under Salmonella enterica. RNAcentral's name for it is "partial 23S ribosomal RNA". It matches the Rfam family "Bacterial large subunit ribosomal RNA", at positions 749 to 1230 of the family's 2925-position model. The record is from RNAcentral. Lineage: Bacteria; Pseudomonadati; Pseudomonadota; Gammaproteobacteria; Enterobacterales; Enterobacteriaceae. RNAcentral also lists the same sequence under 1 other name.
AGGUUGGGUAACACUAACUGGAGGACCGAACCGACUAAUGUUGAAAAAUUAGCGGAUGACCUGUGGCUGGGGGUGAAAGGCCAAUCAAACCGGGAGAUAGCUGGUUCUCCCCGAAAGCUAUUUAGGUAGCGCCUCGUGAAUUCAUCUCCGGGGGUAGAGCACUGUUUCGGCUAGGGGGCCAUCCCGGCUUACCAACCCGAUGCAAACUGCGAAUACCGGAGAAUGUUAUCACGGGAGACACACGGCGGGUGCUAACGUCCGUCGUGAAGAGGGAAACAACCCAGACCGCCAGCUAAGGUCCCAAAGUCAUGGUUAAGUGGGAAACGAUGUGGGAAGGCCCAGACAGCCAGGAUGUUGGCUUAGAAGCAGCCAUCAUUUAAAGAAAGCGUAAUAGCUCACUGGUCGAGUCGGCCUGCGCGGAAGAUGUAACGGGGCUAAACCAUGCACCGAAGCUGCGGCAGCGACACUGUGUGUUGUUGGGUA